Molecule: ribosomal RNA, 478 nt
Filed under: uncultured bacterium
Lineage: Bacteria
Description: partial 16S ribosomal RNA
Rfam family: Bacterial small subunit ribosomal RNA
Source: RNAcentral
GACGAACGCUGGCGGCGUGCUUAACACAUGCAAGUCGAACGGUAAGGCCCUUCGGGGUACACGAGUGGCGAACGGGUGAGUAACACGUGGGUGAUCUGCCCUGCACUUCGGGAUAAGCCUGGGAAACUGGGUCUAAUACCGGAUAGGACCACUGCCUGCAUGGGUGGUGGUGGAAAGCUUUUGCGGUGUGGGAUGGGCCCGCGGCCUAUCAGCUUGUAGGUGGGGUGAUGGCCUACCAAGGCGACGACGGGUAGCCGGCCUGAGAGGGUGACCGGCCACAGUGGGACUGAGAUGCGGCCCAGACUCCUACGGGAGGAAGCAGUGGGGAAUAUUGCACAAUGGGCGCAAGCCUGAUGCAGCGACGCCGCGUGAGGGAUGACGGCCUUCGGGUUGUAAACCUCUUUCAGCACCGACGAAGCGCAAGUGACGGUAGGUGCAGAAGAAGGACCGGCCUACUACGUGCCAGCCGCCGCGGUAA